AUUCAUGCCACUAAUUGUGCUCCGCACCUAUGUGACGUCGUUUUAUCUCAACAAAGGAGCAAUAGUUUUCUUCGUCUUCUGUCUCUCUGCGCCAUUUUCCCCCCCUCCUUUCUGCUGGAAAUGCCGCACAUCAGAUGAGGUGGCAGUUCCUUUUUUCCGACUUCCUCUCUUUAGCAUCAGGUAAGGAGGAAAACGGACGGCGGGCGGGCAAAAAAAAUGCACUCUGCUCUCUCUUCUUCUUCUUCCUUUCAUGCUCCGCCACGUCUCGGUCCCUCUGGCAUGAAUCUACUACAAACCCAUUACUCCAGCUCUUUCUUCUUCAACCCCAUCCCCAACAGAAAUCCCAUCUCCACAGCCAAUGGGCCCUCUUUGCUUUCAACUCAACAGCCAUCAAGAAAGUUGCUUUGCAUACCACCUGCUGGCAAGUAUGUCAGAGAGGAUUAUCUUGUGAAAAAACUGUCUGCUAAAGAAGUCCAAGAUCUGGUGAAGGGGGAGAGAAAUGUACCACUAAUAAUCGAUUUCUACGCAACAUGGUGCGGUCCCUGUAUUUUGAUGGCUCAAGAACUUGAAAUGGGAGCCAGUAAAUGCAACUAUGAAAAGUCUUCUCUUCAAAAUGUUGCUGUAUCUGGAAUGCUGACAAAGACCAUACUUCCAUGGCAUCUAUAUUACAACUUGCCGUAGAAUAUGAAAACAAUGUGCUGAUUGUGAAGGUCAAUACAGAUAAUGAAUAUGAAUUUGCCCGUGACAUGCAGGUUCGUGGGUUACCGACAUUAUAUUUCAUCAGUCCAGAUCCACGCAAAGAUGCAAUAAGAACUGAGGGGCUCAUCCCUAUACAGAUGAUGCGGGAUAUUAUUGAGAACGAAAUUUGAAUGCAGGUUAAUUAAGGACCUGCUGGAUGUAGUCUAAAGAAGCGUCAAUGGCUUCUAGAAACAUUGUUAAACUGCUCCAUUAGUAUUGUUGUCAUCGUGCUGUAGUAAAAUUUUGUAGCCACGUAUAGUUCAAAAACAUCUAGAGCUUGAUGUGCUAUACUGCUAGUGGUCUUGAAGAACCCUGCUGUUUGCAGCUGUUAACUGUGUACUGGAAAAUGGCCAAUACGCCAGUCUUUUGUAUUAUUGUGAUUUUCAGCUGUGUUGAGGAAGUCUUGUGGAUUAGGCUUUCCCGGGAAAUUUAGUGCAAGGGGAUAUUACUAUAA
Coffea arabica (coffee) is the source of this 1192-nucleotide RNA transcript. It is a transcript of the gene named thioredoxin-like protein CITRX, chloroplastic, with no coding region annotated. NCBI's taxonomy places the organism in Eukaryota, Viridiplantae, Streptophyta, Magnoliopsida, Gentianales, Rubiaceae. The record is from RefSeq and is a predicted model, not a curated record.